Molecule: long non-coding RNA, 790 nt
Filed under: Homo sapiens (human)
Lineage: Eukaryota; Metazoa; Chordata; Mammalia; Primates; Hominidae
Description: HSALNT0334741
Source: RNAcentral
CAGGUAUCCCUUUCCAAAGCAAAUGAUCUGAAACAGGACCCCUUAUUGCUAUGCAUGUUCUCUACCUUCUUGCUGUGUUUAUUUUUUGAACUAUUAUAUAAACUUGUAUUAUCCCUUUUUAUUUCAUUUACUUAUUACCUGUGUAUCAAACCCUCAUGGAGACUCUAUCAAGGUCGGUGCUUCUGCUUUGCUCUCAACUGUGUUCCCAGCGUCUAGAACAGAACAAUAUGAGAAGAGAACAGCAAUCACACUAUCCACUACAUCCUUUGUAAACUUUUCUGUGGUUGGCUUUGUAAAAGUUAUCUGGCCUGUGUAAAGAAUCAGGAGGCCAGGCAUGGUGGCACACCUGAAGUCCCAGCUACUUGGGGGUGCUGAGGUGAGAGGAUCACUUGAGCCCAGGAGUUCAAGACCAGUCUGGGUAAUAUAGCAAGACCCUCGACAAUAUAACCAAGAGGACAUAAAACUAAGAAAGUAUGAAUCUAAGUUAAUGUGUCCCUAUGUGUAUCCCUGAGAACACUAGUGUCAGAUGCUAAUUUGGAUAUUCUUGCAAAUCGGUUUCAUGGUCAAAUAUAUGUGAGAAAUAAAGUGAGUCAUAUUUAUUUACUGAAGCUUUUUUUCAGAGUCUUUCAUAUGCUAAUUGUUAAUAGACUUUAAGGGUACAAUAUGGAGAGUUCCAAAGCUUUGGCAAUUUCAAUCUUUGUUUUAUAAAUUGUAAAUUAACAAAAUAUAGUUGUAUAUGUUUAUGGGGUACAAAGUGAUAUUAUGUUUAUGAAUGCAAUAUGGAAUAAUU